UACCCGCGGUCCAAGUCGCAGCCAUCUUUAUUGGGUCUAAAAUAUCCGUAGCUUGCCGAAUAAGUUCCUUGUGAAAUCCUAUGUCUUGAGCAUAGGGCGCGCAGGGAGUACUGUUCGGCUAGAGACUGGAAGACGUAGAAAGUACGAUCAAAGUAGUGGUAAAAUACUUUAAUCUUGGUCGGACUCACAAUAGCGAAGGCAUUCUACGAGGACAGUUCUGACAGUGAGGGAUGAAGGCCAGGGGCGCAAA
RNAcentral lists this ribosomal RNA (250 nucleotides) under uncultured archaeon. RNAcentral describes it as "partial 16S ribosomal RNA". It matches the Rfam family "Archaeal small subunit ribosomal RNA", at positions 474 to 723 of the family's 1478-position model. The record is from RNAcentral.